AACUGGUUUAAAACUGCAUACGGUAGCUCAUUUAAACCUCUCGAGGGCCCUUGACAAGAUGUCCAGGCACUUGAGAGAGGCUUAGCUAGUAAUAAAACUCUCUCUCCACGAAAUAAAUCUUUGGUGACCUCAUGGAUAAUAACGGGCAACGGUAUUUCCGUGAUAAUCCCACAGCUGUGGUUGGACCGAAGAAAACAAACUUGCAGGAACUUCAGUGUUAAACAGCUUCAUGGGCGAUAAUAAAAUGAAGAACGUUCCUGGGAAAUAAUAAUAUCAGCAUUUGACAUUUUAACCAAAUUGCGACUUCCUCGGUUUGAGAGAACUGACGUCGGAUUUUCGCAAAUUUUUACAUUUUUUUCAAACAAAUUAAUAAACUGAUUGAAGGAAAUAUGGCUUUUCUUAUCAAACGAAUGACUGAAUAUGUAUUGAACGAGGUAAAAUAAAAGUUUAAUCUGUU
Long non-coding RNA from Dreissena polymorpha, 457 nucleotides. RefSeq lists it as uncharacterized. The record is from RefSeq and is a predicted model, not a curated record. The transcript has 3 exons. NCBI's taxonomy places the organism in Eukaryota, Metazoa, Mollusca, Bivalvia, Myida, Dreissenidae.